CCUACGGGAGGCAGCAGUGGGGAAUAUUGCACAAUGGGGGAAACCCUGAUGCAGCGACGCCGCGUGAGUGAAGAAGUAUUUCGGUAUGUAAAGCUCUAUCAGCAGGGAAGAAAAUGACGGUACCUGACUAAGAAGCCCCGGCUAACUACGUGCCAGCAGCCGCGGUAAUACGUAGGGGGCAAGCGUUAUCCGGAUUUACUGGGUGUAAAGGGAGCGUAGACGGCAGAGCAAGUCUGAAGUGAAAGCCCGCGGCCCAACUGCGGGACUGCUUUGGAAACUGCCCGGCUUGAGGACUGGAGAGGCAGACGGAAUUCCUAGUGUAGCGGUGAAAUGCGUAGAUAUUAGGAGGAACACCAGUGGCGAAGGCGGUCUGCUGGACAGCAACUGACGGUGAGGCGCGAAAGCGUGGGGAGCAAACAGGAUUAGAUACCCGAGUAGUC
This 440-nucleotide ribosomal RNA is filed under the name uncultured bacterium. Its description in RNAcentral is "partial 16S ribosomal RNA". It matches the Rfam family "Bacterial small subunit ribosomal RNA", at positions 338 to 795 of the family's 1533-position model. The record is from RNAcentral.